RNAcentral lists this long non-coding RNA (707 nucleotides) under Homo sapiens (human). Its description in RNAcentral is "non-protein coding LINC00662:33". Lineage: Eukaryota; Metazoa; Chordata; Mammalia; Primates; Hominidae. The record is from RNAcentral.
CACGAUUCUUCCUGUGCUCCAUAGGAGGACCCAUUGGACCCCCGGGCUGGCUGCAGGGCCCACACCUGGGUUAGACCUCGCACAGGGACGCUGCUGCCACUGUAAUAAAGCGUGCCUACACGCUUCUGAAACUGGUGUAGGAACAACCUCAGUUCUGUGAAAGGCGGACGCAGCAGGACAGAAUCUCCGUGGACAUCUGUCUGGAGGAGCAAUUUUACUGCGACAUUUUAAAGAAACAAAUUUAAUUGAUUUCCAAGGCUAGAGUGUGACAGAAAUCUAAAAGAUCAACUUCAUCGUGCAGGAAGGAGCAUAGAAAAAUAGAGAAAAGAAGAAAACAGCAAACCAUUCUGAGUACCGUGGAAACAAACUAAAAGUGGGCUUAGAAGGAAAACAGAGGAAGAAGGUCUGAGUAGUCCCAGGGACUCCAGAGGCCAAGAUGGGAAAGCCACCCAGGCGAGACAGGGGAGAUGGAAGCCACAGGGAAUCACUAUCACAUACCUCUGCUGGACCUGAAUGGUCCUGGCGCCAGCUAGAGCCAUCUGGUCGACCUUAGACAUGUCAAGGCAGGAGCCAUCUGAUCGACCUUAGACUUGGCAAGCUGGUGGCUAAGUCCAGUGCUCACUGCCGACAUCUGUCUCAAAAUAAACAAAAAGUCCAACAGUGAAUAUUUAACAAUAACAAAAAUAUAAUACCAAACAAUAUUAAAG